Molecule: non-coding RNA, 114 nt
Organism: Acanthosepion pharaonis
Lineage: Eukaryota; Metazoa; Mollusca; Cephalopoda; Sepiida; Sepiidae
Source: the annotation of a GenBank genome assembly
UUGCGGCCAUAUCACGUUGAAACACCGGUUCUCGUACGAUCACGAAAGUUAAGCAACAUCGAGUCUGGUCACUAACUAGAUAGGUAACCAUUUGUGAAUAACAGGUGCUGUAAG